AGCAGCCGCGGUAAUUCCAGCUCCAAUAGCGUAUAUUAAAGUUGUUGCAGUUAAAAAGCUCGUAGUUGAAUUUCGGGGUCUGUCCGUCGGUCGGGCUUUACGGUCCGUACUGGUGUGAUGGGUUCCUACCUUCUAAAUAACCGGCAUGCCAUUCAUUUGGUGCGCCGGGGAAGCAGAGCUAUUACCUUGAAAAAAUUAGAGUGCUUAAAGCAGGCUAGUGCUCGAAUAGAUUAGCAUGGAAUAAUAAAAUAGGACGGCAUGGUUCUAUUUUGUUGGUUUCUAGGAUCACCGUAAUGAUUAAUAGGGAUAGUUGGGGGCAUUAGUAUUCAAUUGUCAGAGGUGAAAUUCUUGGAUUUAUUGAAGACUAACUUCUGCGAAAGCAUUUGCCAAGGAUGUUUUCAUUAAUCAAGAACGAAAGUUAGGGGAUCGAAGACGAUCAGAUACCGUCGUAGUCUUAACCAUAAACUAUGCCGACUAGGGAUCGGACGAUGUUAAUUUUUAAUGACUCGUUCGGCGCCUU
RNAcentral lists this ribosomal RNA (520 nucleotides) under uncultured Acaulospora. RNAcentral's name for it is "SSU rRNA". It matches the Rfam family "Eukaryotic small subunit ribosomal RNA", at positions 569 to 1089 of the family's 1831-position model. The record is from RNAcentral. Lineage: Eukaryota; Fungi; Glomeromycota; Glomeromycetes; Diversisporales; Acaulosporaceae.